GGGGUCACGCCCCGGGUGCGUCGCAGCCCCGGAACCAGGCGCCCGCCGGAGGAACCAACCAAACUCUUUCUGUAGUCCCCUCGCGGACGUAUUUCUUACAGCUCUGAGCAAAAAUUCAAAAUGAAUCAAAACUUUCAACAACGGAUCUCUUGGUUCUGGCAUCGAUGAAGAACGCAGCGAAAUGCGAUAAGUAAUGUGAAUUGCAGAAUUCAGUGAAUCAUCGAAUCUUUGAACGCACAUUGCGCCCGCCAGUAUUCUGGCGGGCAUGCCUGUCCGAGCGUCAUUUCAACCCUCGAACCCCUCCGGGGGAUCGGCGUUGGGGAUCGGGACCCCUCACACGGGUGCCGGCCCCUAAAUACAGUGGCGGUCUCGCCGCAGCCUCUCCUGCGCAGUAGUUUGCACAACUCGCACCGGGAGCGCGGCGCGUCCACGUCCGUAAAACACCCAACUUUCUGAAAUGUUGACCUCGGAUCAGGUAGGAAUACCCGCUGAACUUAAGCAUAUCAAUAAGCGGAGGAA
This 519-nucleotide small RNA is filed under the name Trichoderma asperellum. RNAcentral's name for it is "eukaryotic LSU rRNA". The stretch from base 130 to 283 matches the Rfam family "5.8S ribosomal RNA". Lineage: Eukaryota; Fungi; Ascomycota; Sordariomycetes; Hypocreales; Hypocreaceae. The record is from RNAcentral.